Molecule: ribosomal RNA, 510 nt
Filed under: uncultured bacterium
Lineage: Bacteria
Description: partial 16S ribosomal RNA
Rfam family: Bacterial small subunit ribosomal RNA
Source: RNAcentral
GACGAACGCUGGCGGCGUGCUUAACACAUGCAAGUCGAACGAAGAGCGAUGGAAGCUUGCUUCUAUCACUCUUAGUGGCGAACGGGUGAGUAACGCGUAAUCAACCUGCCCUUCAGAGGGGGACAACAGUUGGAAACGACUGCUAAUACCGCAUACGAUCUAAUCUCGGCAUCGAGGAUAGAUGAAAGGUGGCCUCUACAUGUAAGCUAUCACUGAAGGAGGGGAUUGCGUCUGAUUAGCUAGUUGGAGGGGUAACGGCCCACCAAGGCGAUGAUCAGUAGCCGGUCUGAGAGGAUGAACGGCCACAUUGGGACUGAGACACGGCCCAGACUCCUACGGGAGGCAGCAGUGGGGAAUCUUCCGCAAUAGACGAAAGUCUGACGGAGCAACGCCGCGUGAGUGAUGACGGCCUUCGGGUUGUAAAGCUCUGUUAAUCGGGACGAAAGGCCUUCUUGCGAACAGUUAGAAGGAUUGACGGUACCGGAAUAGAAAGCCACGGCUAACUACGUG